AUGAGGCGGACCACGGCGUUGCUGCUGCGCCACGUCGGCGGCGGGAUCCCGCAGGCGCUCGCCGACAUGCUCGUCUGCCCCCUGUCCAAGAAGCCUCUCAGGUACUGCGAGGCCAGCGGCUCUCUGGUCAGCGACGCCGUCGGCAUGUCCUUCCCGAUAGUAGAUGGAAUUCCUUGUCUCCUUCCGAAAGACGGCAAGUUGCUCGAGGACCACCAGAGGGAAUCAGGACAUGAAACCAGCCCUAGGGAUUCCUCUGAUUGA
Molecule: ribosomal RNA, 261 nt
Filed under: Triticum aestivum (bread wheat)
Lineage: Eukaryota; Viridiplantae; Streptophyta; Magnoliopsida; Poales; Poaceae
Description: partial small subunit ribosomal RNA
Source: RNAcentral